UCCUACGGGGGGCAGCAGUCUAGAGGCUUCGGCAAUGGGGGCAACCCUGACCGAGCGACGCCGCGUGUGGGAUUGAAGGCCUUCGGGUCGUAAACCACUGUCAUUGGGGAAGAAUGCCUGGAUGGCGAAUCCAGGAGGGACGGUACCCAAGGAGGAAGCCCCGGCUAACUCCGUGCCAGCAGCCGCGGUAAUACGGAGGGGGCAAGCGUUGUUCGGAUUUACUGGGCGUAAAGGGUGUGUAGGCGGCUGGGCAAGUCUGGUGUGAAAUCUUCACCGCUUAACGGGAAGAGGUCACUGGAAACUGCCUAGCUCGAGUAUGGUAGAGGCAAGCGGAAUUCCUGGUGUAGCGGUGGAAUGUGUAGAUAUCAGGAAGAACACCGGUGGCGAAGGCGGCUUGCUGGGCCAUUACUGACGCUGAGACACGAAAGCGUGGGGAGCAAACGGGAUUAGAUACCCCUGUAGUCC
Molecule: ribosomal RNA, 465 nt
Filed under: uncultured bacterium
Lineage: Bacteria
Description: bacterial SSU rRNA
Rfam family: Bacterial small subunit ribosomal RNA
Source: RNAcentral